RNAcentral lists this small RNA (903 nucleotides) under Arabidopsis thaliana (thale cress). RNAcentral's name for it is "ATSL098810". Lineage: Eukaryota; Viridiplantae; Streptophyta; Magnoliopsida; Brassicales; Brassicaceae. The record is from RNAcentral.
GAGAAGAAUUAAUUUACUCUUUAAAUUUUAUUUCUAAUGGCAUACCUAUGUAAUUACUUACAAAAAAUAAGGUUAUAUUUAAAAUGUACAUCCCAAAUAAUAUAGUAGGAAUAUCAACAAAACAUAUACAACUCGCAGUUUACUAUACAUUUAAAAUCAAAUAAAAUAAUAUCAUAUAUUUAUAAUCAUCUUUACAAUAAAAGUUUUUAGUUUAGCUAAAAUAUAAGCAUACAUGCGGUAUACUGCAAGUUAAAAUUAUAAAUAAACAGAUUACCAUCACGAUGUCUGUACCUUCUCACAUACAUACCUAUCAAAAACUUAAAACCUUUCAAAAUCUCUUGGUAUAUUCAAAUUAGGAUUCUUCAUUCAUAGAAUCAUUAUUGCAAGAGUUUUGGGAUGUCUUAUGAAAUGAAUUUGGCAGAAGAGGAUGUAAAAUUUUUUGAAUAAAAAGUAGUCAGCAAAACAUAUGUUUUUUUUGGAGUUUUUAGAUAAUUAAAUCAGAGAAAUAGGGUUAGGCAUAUGAGUAACCCAUUCGAGUUUGGGUUUGGGAUUAAUGGGUAUAUGAUUUACUACCCAAUAGAAUAAUUCUAAAUAUUCGGUUCUGGUUUGGGUUGGAUCCAGUUGGGUUUGGGUCAGUUUGGAUAAAAAGGUUUAGACCCUAAAAAUACCCAAAAAAUAGAAACGGAAAAUUUGUAUGUAGAUAGCGGGUCUCCAAACAAAAAAAACUUUUAAAUUUGUUAAGUUUUAAUAAAUUUAAUUAUAUUUGAAUAUAUUUUACUAAAUUUUGACAAACAUAACAAAUAAUUUUUGAAUAGUUUAGUUGUUUUGGAUAUUUAGGUCCAAAAUUAAUUGACAUAUUUAGAUUUAUAAUUAUAAUCUUAGAUAAUUAGAUAAUGUUACGAU